This 460-nucleotide ribosomal RNA is filed under the name uncultured bacterium. RNAcentral describes it as "bacterial SSU rRNA". It matches the Rfam family "Bacterial small subunit ribosomal RNA", at positions 1 to 507 of the family's 1533-position model. The record is from RNAcentral.
AGUAGUCACGAGUUUGAUCCUGGCUCAGAACGACGCUGGCGGCAGGCCUAACACAUGCAAGUCGAGCGGGGGAGCAAUCCCUAGCGGCGGACGGGUUAGUAACGCGUGGGAACAUACCCUUUGGUACGGAAUAGCCUCGGGAAACUGAGAGUAAUACCGUAUGUGCCCUUCGGGGGAAAGAUUUAUCGCCAAAGGAUUGGCCCGCGUUGGAUUAGGUAGUUGGUGGGGUAAUGGCCUACCAAGCCUACGAUCCAUAGCUGGUUUGAGAGGAUGAUCAGCAACACUGGGACUGAGACACGGCCCAGACUCCUACGGGAGGCAGCAGUGGGGAAUCUUAGACAAUGGGCGCAAGCCUGAUCUAGCCAUGCCGCGUGAGCGAUGAAGGCCUUAGGGUUGUAAAGCUCUUUCAGAUGGGAAGAUAAUGACGGUACCAUCAGAAGAAGCCCCGGCUAACUCCGUG